RNAcentral lists this ribosomal RNA (1341 nucleotides) under Salmonella enterica. RNAcentral describes it as "partial 23S ribosomal RNA". It matches the Rfam family "Bacterial large subunit ribosomal RNA", at positions 1483 to 2802 of the family's 2925-position model. RNAcentral also lists the same sequence under 1 other name. Lineage: Bacteria; Pseudomonadati; Pseudomonadota; Gammaproteobacteria; Enterobacterales; Enterobacteriaceae. The record is from RNAcentral.
UAUGUUGGCCGGGCGACGGUUGUCCCGGUUUAAGCGUGUAGGUGUGUGUUCCAGGUAAAUCCGGUUCACUUUAACACUGAGGCGUGACGACGAGGCACUACGGUGCUGAAGCAACAAAUGCCCUGCUUCCAGGAAAAGCCUCUAAGCAUCAGGUAACAUCAAAUCGUACCCCAAACCGACACAGGUGGUCAGGUAGAGAAUACCAAGGCGCUUGAGAGAACUCGGGUGAAGGAACUAGGCAAAAUGGUGCCGUAACUUCGGGAGAAGGCACGCUGACACGUAGGUGAAGUGAUUUACUCAUGGAGCUGAAGUCAGUCGAAGAUACCAGCUGGCUGCAACUGUUUAUUAAAAACACAGCACUGUGCAAACACGAAAGUGGACGUAUACGGUGUGACGCCUGCCCGGUGCCGGAAGGUUAAUUGAUGGGGUCAGCGCAAGCGAAGCUCCUGAUCGAAGCCCCGGUAAACGGCGGCCGUAACUAUAACGGUCCUAAGGUAGCGAAAUUCCUUGUCGGGUAAGUUCCGACCUGCACGAAUGGCGUAAUGAUGGCCAGGCUGUCUCCACCCGAGACUCAGUGAAAUUGAACUCGCUGUGAAGAUGCAGUGUACCCGCGGCAAGACGGAAAGACCCCGUGAACCUUUACUAUAGCUUGACACUGAACAUUGAGCCUUGAUGUGUAGGAUAGGUGGGAGGCUUUGAAGUGUGGACGCCAGUCUGCAUGGAGCCGACCUUGAAAUACCACCCUUUAAUGUUUGAUGUUCUAACGUGGACCCGUUACCCGGGUUGCGGACAGUGUCUGGUGGGUAGUUUGACUGGGGCGGUCUCCUCCUAAAGAGUAACGGAGGAGCACGAAGGUUGGCUAAUCCUGGUCGGACAUCAGGAGGUUAGUGCAAUGGCAUAAGCCAGCUUGACUGCGAGCGUGACGGCGCGAGCAGGUGCGAAAGCAGGUCAUAGUGAUCCGGUGGUUCUGAAUGGAAGGGCCAUCGCUCAACGGAUAAAAGGUACUCCGGGGAUAACAGGCUGAUACCGCCCAAGAGUUCAUAUCGACGGCGGUGUUUGGCACCUCGAUGUCGGCUCAUCACAUCCUGGGGCUGAAGUAGGUCCCAAGGGUAUGGCUGUUCGCCAUUUAAAGUGGUACGCGAGCUGGGUUUAGAACGUCGUGAGACAGUUCGGUCCCUAUCUGCCGUGGGCGCUGGAGAACUGAGGGGGGCUGCUCCUAGUACGAGAGGACCGGAGUGGACGCAUCACUGGUGUUCGGGUUGUCAUGCCAAUGGCACUGCCCGGUAGCUAAAUGCGGAAGAGAUAAGUGCUGAAAGCAUCUAAGCACGAAACUUGCCCCGA